UCCCGUGUGGCUCAGUUGGUAGAGCAUGGCGCUCGUAAUGCCAGGAUUGUGGGUUUGACCCUACGGGGGAC
Molecule: transfer RNA, 71 nt
Filed under: Salmo salar (Atlantic salmon)
Lineage: Eukaryota; Metazoa; Chordata; Actinopteri; Salmoniformes; Salmonidae
Rfam family: tRNA
About the family: Transfer RNA (tRNA) molecules are approximately 80 nucleotides in length. Their secondary structure includes four short double-helical elements and three loops (D, anti-codon, and T loops).
Source: Rfam by way of RNAcentral